This 23-nucleotide non-coding RNA is filed under the name Mus musculus (house mouse). Lineage: Eukaryota; Metazoa; Chordata; Mammalia; Rodentia; Muridae. The record is from RNAcentral.
CCAUCUUGCAACCCUACCUUUUU